This 460-nucleotide ribosomal RNA is filed under the name uncultured bacterium. RNAcentral's name for it is "partial 16S ribosomal RNA". It matches the Rfam family "Bacterial small subunit ribosomal RNA", at positions 338 to 795 of the family's 1533-position model. The record is from RNAcentral.
CCUACGGGCGGCAGCAGUGAGGAAUAUUGGACAAUGGACGCAAGUCUGAACCAGCCAUGCCGCGUGCAGGAAGACGGCUCUAUGAGUUGUAAACUGCUUUUGUACGAGGGUAAACGCAGAUACGCGUAUCUGUCUGAAAGUAUCGUACGAAUAAGGAUCGGCUAACUCAGUGCCAGCAGCCGCGGUAAUACGGAGGAUUCAAGCGUUGUCCGGAUUUAUUGGGUUUAAAGGGUGCGUAGGCGGUCGGAUAAGUUAGAGGUGAAAUCCCGAGGCUCAACUUCGGAAUUGACUCUGAUACUGUUCGGCUAGAGAGUAGUUGCGGUAGGCGGAAUGUAUGGUGUAGCGGUGAAAUGCUUAGAGAUCAGACAGAACACCGAUUGCGAAGGCAGCUUACUGAGCUACUUCUGACGUUGAGGCACGAAAGCGUGGGGAGCAAACAGGAUUAGAUACCCCUGUAGUC